AUUGUAGGCUGCAACUCGCCUACAUGAAGUCGGAAUUGCUAGUAAUCGCGGAUCAGCAUGCCGCGGUGAAUACGUUCCCGGGCCUUGUACACACCGCCCGUCACACCAUGGGAGUCGGUAACACCCGAAGCCUGUAGUCUAACCGCAAGGAGGACGCUGCCGAAGGUAGGAUUGGCGACUGGGGUGAAGUCGUAACAAGGUAGC
This 204-nucleotide ribosomal RNA is filed under the name uncultured bacterium. Its description in RNAcentral is "partial 16S ribosomal RNA". It matches the Rfam family "Bacterial small subunit ribosomal RNA", at positions 1297 to 1500 of the family's 1533-position model. The record is from RNAcentral.